This 59-nucleotide microRNA precursor is filed under the name Branchiostoma lanceolatum (amphioxus). Its description in RNAcentral is "Bla-Mir-193-P1k_pre stem-loop". The record is from RNAcentral. Lineage: Eukaryota; Metazoa; Chordata; Leptocardii; Amphioxiformes; Branchiostomatidae.
AGCGGCUUGCGGGUCCAGUCGGUAGAAAGAGAUUUCCUACUGGCCUGCCAAGUCGGUGC